UCAAAGGGAUUGACGGGGGCCCGCACAAGCGGUGGAGCAUGUGGUUUAAUUCGAAGCGACGCGCAGAACCUUACCACCUCUUGACAUGGGUAUCGCGGUCUCCCGAGAGGGAGUCCUUCAGUUCGGCUGGAUACCACACAGGUGCUGCAUGGCUGUCGUCAGCUCGUGUCGUGAGAUGUUGGGUUAAGUCCCGCAACGAGCGCAACCCUCGCUGCUAGUUGCCAGCAUUCAGUUGGGCACUCUAGUGGAACCGCCGGUGAUAAGCCGGAGGAAGGUGGGGAUGACGUCAAGUCCUCAUGGCCCUUACGAGGUGGGCUACACACGUGCUACAAUGGCGGUGACAGUGGGUUAAUCCCAAAAAACCGUCUCAGCCCGGAUUGGGGUCUGCAACUCGACCCCAUGAAGUCGGAAUCGCUAGUAAUCGCGUAACAGCAUGACGCGGUGAAUACGUUCCCGGGCAUUGUACACACCGCCCGUCACACCAUGUGAGUUGGGUUUACCCGAAGACGGUGCGCCAACAUUCGGGAGUAGCCGGCCACGUAAGCUCAGCGACUGGG
RNAcentral lists this ribosomal RNA (557 nucleotides) under uncultured organism. Its description in RNAcentral is "bacterial SSU rRNA". It matches the Rfam family "Bacterial small subunit ribosomal RNA", at positions 901 to 1479 of the family's 1533-position model. The record is from RNAcentral.